CGAGCGGUAGAGAUUCUUCGGAAUCUUGAGAGCGGCGCACGGGUGCGGAACACGUGUGCAACCUGCCUUUAUCAGGGGAAUAGCCUUUCSAAAGGAAGAUUAAUGCCCCAUAWUAUAUUUUCUGGCAUCAGAAGAUAUUGAAAACUCCGGUGGAUAAAGAUGGGCACGCGCAGGAUUAGAUAGUUGGUAGGGUAACGGCCUACCAAGUCAACGAUCCUUAGGGGGCCUGAGAGGGUGAUCCCCCACACUGGUACUGAGACACGGACCAGACUCCUACGGGAGGCAGCAGUGAGGAAUAUUGGACAAUGGGUGAGAGCCUGAUCCAGCCAUCCCGCGUGAAGGACGACGGCCCUAUGGGUUGUAAACUUCUUUUGUACAGGGAUAAACCUUUCCACGUGUGGGAAGCUGAAGGUACUGUACGAAUAAGCACCGGCUAACUCCGUGCCAGCAGCCGCGGUU
Molecule: ribosomal RNA, 459 nt
Filed under: Chryseobacterium elymi
Lineage: Bacteria; Pseudomonadati; Bacteroidota; Flavobacteriia; Flavobacteriales; Weeksellaceae
Also listed under: 1 other name
Description: bacterial SSU rRNA
Rfam family: Bacterial small subunit ribosomal RNA
Source: RNAcentral